Molecule: long non-coding RNA, 907 nt
Filed under: Carica papaya (papaya)
Lineage: Eukaryota; Viridiplantae; Streptophyta; Magnoliopsida; Brassicales; Caricaceae
Description: long non-coding RNA (CPAP_LNC012839)
Source: RNAcentral
AUGCAAAGGUAACACUCAUUAACUCCCAAACAUUUGAUUCAUACAUCUUUGGAAAUAUUUUUCCAAUAUGCAUGUUAUGUCCAAUAAUUUUUAUUUCUGUAUACUUUGAAUAAUUGACUACUCUAAUAAACCCUGGUAAAAAAGGAUAAUUUUAUACCUUCAUAAGAACACUGCCACCACCUCUCAGUACCAAAACUAUUGAAUUAAAUUAAUAAACUUGAUUAUUGACAUUUCCUUCAAAAUUUGAAGGUACAGUAGAAGCCCAAUUACAUACAAUUUAUCAGGACACUGGAAGGUAGGGACUGCGCUUCUCAUUGUGCACCCUGUGCUGAACGUUGACUAAAAUAAAGCUAUCAAAAUGUUGUCAUAUAAACUCAGUGAAUCAGCUGAGUAAAUUUCCAACUUUAAGUGUGAAUUAAGUACAAAAUGGACAGUUACUCUUUUCUUCCAAGAAUCUAAGAUUCUUAGGAAGCCAAACUCUUAUAAGAUCAUCAAAAAUGUAGAAAUGCAUAAAGGAAUAUAUGAAAUAAAUAAAUAGCAGUUGUGAGUGAGUAGACCUUCAAUGCUUUGAGACACAUAGAACCUGUUCCUUGCAAUGUUCUUGAAUAAAUUCCAAUAUCAAUUUGACAACGGAAUCUGGCUUUUCCACGUGUGGAAGAUGACCACAAUCUGAUAUCUGGCGUAGAAUUGCAUUUGGCAGUUCACAAUGUAGUCUCUGUUUUACAUAGUUCAAACAGUCACAAAAGGCAAGUUAAUUCCAGUUUUUUUAAUUAAUUUUUAAUAGCGACAAACUCUAAAUCAUAAAACAGAAGUACUUCAUGCAUAGGAUAACAAGAGAAAAGAAAUAAAAAAUAUAGGACUUAAGAAGAUCUAAUUCUUCUCGGCACGAUUCAGUGGCCUAUUUUGU